This 2304-nucleotide unclassified non-coding RNA is filed under the name Hevea brasiliensis (rubber tree). Lineage: Eukaryota; Viridiplantae; Streptophyta; Magnoliopsida; Malpighiales; Euphorbiaceae. The record is from RNAcentral.
ACAAUGGAACAGUCCCAGCAAGUCUCGACACUGCGAAAAACAGAGCAGAACCCACUUGACCAAUCGAAUUUUCGGUUGAUAAAAAUUAAAUUUAAGCUAACAAUGCAUUCAAGUGGAAAGUAGAAAUCCAAUUUCGAGGGUGAACGAACUUAGUAUGAUGUUCAAAAACUGACUGAUGAUGCCUCAUUUUUUAGUGCAAGCGAUUAAAAGUUGAAGCCUCUGGGGAAAAAAAUGGAGGAGUGCAUCCAUUCACAAGCAACGGAGAAAUGAAAGAACAAUACUUGUACAAAUUCAAGUCUUCAUUCCUCUGAUGAGAUAAGAUUAACCAAGUGGCUCAACCAAUAAAGUGUUCUACGAUUAAGGGCUGGAAUCCAAAUUUAUGUGACUAUGGAAUUGUACUGUUCAAACAAUUGUGAUUCGAAGGCCUGAAAUCAGCAAAACUUAAGACCAGUGGAUUGGAAAUGGCUUAAUAGACAAUUGGCUAAUGUGAAUUCAUAACCUCUACCUCUGUACGUACUGGAUGAAACAAUUGUGUAAAGGGCACUUAAACUAAUCCCACAAACACUUGCUAUAACUAGGAAGAGACAAUGGCUUCAAUGGUCUCAUCUUCUGCUGUUGCAUCCAUUAGCGGUGCCACACCGGCUCAGGUUACAAUGGUUGCACCGUUCACUGGCUUGUUCAUUACUAUUAAUUGCAUUGUUCUUUAUUUGGAUCAUAAAUAUAUUAAGAAUUUCCAUUAGCCACCGCAUCAUUAACAAGAUUAUGUACAUAAUUGCAACCAUUACUUAUACUAAUUAAGAUAAGAGCUGAGAUACUGUUGAUGUUUGUGAAAAUGCAGCAUGGAUUUUUUUACUGAGAGAACCACAGAUCCCCUGGGUACUACGAUAGCGGUUACUGGACCAUGUAGGAAGCUCCUCUUGUUUGGCUGCAGAGAUUCACUACAAGUUCUUAAGGAUCUAGAGGAGGCCACGAAGGCUUAUCCUAAUUCAUUAUUGCAUUUGACAACAAACGCUAAUUGCAGCGCAGCAAUUUCAUCGCCUACAAACCUUCUGGUUUCUAAACUUUCAGAGCCUGAGGCUUUUCCCUUUUUUUUCUUUCUUUCUUGGCUUCUAUUUUUUGUUUCUGAAAUUCCUUUUUUUUUUUCAUCUUCUAGAUUUUUCUCUGAUCUGCAAUUGAAUUGUCAAUAAAAUUUGUGGCUUGCAGGAGCCUAAUAACAACAAUUCAUCCCUAGAAUAAAUUUGUUAAUUUACUGAUCUCUGAUUAAGCAAGUCAAUUCCAAUCUAUAUAUGAAAACAAAAUUAAGAAGAACAACCAUGGACACUCAAGUAUCAUCAAUAAAUUCUUCAAGUAAUUAGAACAAAUUAAAGUUCCCAUCUCUCAUGGAUUUUGUACCUGGUUGAUGCUUCUCAGGUUCCACAGAUCAUAAUCCCAGACAACAUCACUAAACAUUUCACUACAGGCCUCACCCAUAUACUCCACAUCCCAAAAAGGCAACCAGAUGGAACCCCAUGACAUUUGCUCAUCCACAAUCCCUCUUAACCAUGGCAACUCAUCCCGAUUUAGAUAAUUGUCCACCAUUCCCGAACUUGACUCGCCGCCAAUAUUCUUACUUUGCUCUUGCACCUUCUCAACAGACCUCUUGCCCUUGAUCUUUUUCGCCAUUGCCAUCCUUGUUCUUGUCGUUGCUGCUUUACCAUCAGCCAUAUUUGUAGCUUUCAUAUUUUCAGCAUCCACAUUUCUUUGCCUCUUCAUGAUGAUUUUCUUGAAGAGAAAUAUUACAGAUGUCUUCAAGAAUUAUGGGUAUGGUUUUGGUUUUUCAAGCUAAGCUACAUGUAGCUUAUAAGAAGAAAGAGGAGUUGUGCAAGGGGAGCGCAGAAGAAAAGUUUGAUGGCGCUUAGGAGGGUGAGAUUGCAGUUGCAUGGCUCCCUGGUGAUGAUGACUGUCACAUGCCCUUGUAGCAGACAUUGACAUAUGCCACUGACGUACACCAAUUAGCUGCUACAUAUGUGCGCUUUAGUUCAAUGAAUUAUCAGUGAGACGAAGAAGAGGCAGGUUGGUUAAGACUGAGAUCUUGAAAGUCCAAUGACAUGCUGCCAUGUCGUGGGAAAGAAGAUGGGCUUUCUUCAUUUUUGGAGUGGUGUGAAAUUAAAUGGGAAUUUCAAGCAACAGAUAUUUAUAUAAAUAUAAAUUGGAUAUGGAUCGUCAGCAGUGGUUGGUUCCAAGGAGAGACGUAAGGGCAGAGUCAAGUAGUGGCAGCUGUGGAUGAAGAGGCAGGAGGCCAACUGUGAAUGGUGAUGCCUGAAG